UAUUCCCCACUGCUGCCUCCCGUAGGAGUCUGGGCCGUGUCUCAGUCCCAAUGUGGCCGUUCAACCUCUCAGUCCGGCUACCGAUCGUCGCCUUGGUGGGCCGUUACCCCGCCAACAAGCUAAUCGGACGCGAGUCCAUCUCUAAGCGAUAAAUCUUUGAUAUCAAAGUCAUGCGGCUUCAAUAUGUUAUGCGGUAUUAGCGAUCUUUUCAGAACGUUAUUCCCCUCUUAGAGGCAGGUUACUCACGCGUUACUCACCCGUCCGCCACUAAGUUAAAAAUCCGUCAUCCCGAAGGAAUCCGUCAAAAUAACUCCGUUCGACUUGCAUGUGUUAGGCACGCCGCCAGCGUUCAUCCUGAGCCAA
Molecule: ribosomal RNA, 363 nt
Filed under: uncultured rumen bacterium
Lineage: Bacteria
Description: partial 16S ribosomal RNA
Source: RNAcentral